RNAcentral lists this ribosomal RNA (526 nucleotides) under uncultured bacterium. Its description in RNAcentral is "bacterial SSU rRNA". It matches the Rfam family "Bacterial small subunit ribosomal RNA", at positions 19 to 518 of the family's 1533-position model. The record is from RNAcentral.
CUGGCUCAGGACGAACGCUGGCGGCGUGCCUAAUACAUGCAAGUCGAACGGUCUUUCUAUGGAAGCUUGCUUCCACUGAGAAGAUAGUGGCGAACGGGUGAGUAACACGUGGGUAACCUGCCCAUAAGAGGGGGGAUAACAUCCGGAAACGGGUGCUAAUACCGCAUAGUUUCUUGAUCGCAUGAUCGGGAAAGGAAAGACGGCCUUCGUGCUGUCGCUUAUGGAUGGACCCGCGGCGUAUUAGUUAGUUGGUGAGGUAACGGCUCACCAAGACGAUGAUACGUAGCCGACCUGAGAGGGUGAUCGGCCACAUUGGGACUGAGACACGGCCCAAACUCCUACGGGAGGCAGCAGUAGGGAAUCUUCCGCAAUGGACGAAAGUCUGACGGAGCAACGCCGCGUGAGUGAAGAAAGGUUUUCGGAUCGUAAAACUCUGUUGUCAGAGAAGAACAAGUUGGAGAGUAACUGCUCCAGCCUUGACGGUAUCUGACCAGAAAGCCACGGCUAACUACGUGCCAGCAGCCGC